This is a non-coding RNA of Pantherophis guttatus, 2537 nucleotides long. The record is from RefSeq and is a predicted model, not a curated record. Lineage: Eukaryota; Metazoa; Chordata; Lepidosauria; Squamata; Colubridae.
CUCAAUUUUGUAUUUUGACUGUUGAAGUUACUCGGAUGAGUAAUGAAACGCCUCAGAUUAACAAACUUGGGUCCAUUGCCUUGAUUUAAACUUUUUUUUUUUUAGAGACUAGGCCUGAAGCAUACUAGGCCUGGGCCCUGUAUGAAAUUGCAGAUUGGUUUCACUCCAGCAGUAUUUUAAGAUAUGAAAUUGCACAUUUCUGUAACAACCCAACUCUGCAUAAACUAAGCCAGCAUUAAUACAUCUGGGUUUUGUUUGCCAAAAAAAAAUGUAUUGAAAUAUGAUGAUGGAGUUUUCAUUGACAUGUUUCAGGCCUAGUCAUAUCUGAUUGGCAUAACCAAAAUAACCAUAACUACUAAUAAAUUAGAAAAGAUAAAAGAAAAUGAGAGAAAAGACAAAGAAGGGAUAGAAACCCAGAUGACCCCUGAGUAAACGAAAAAGGGGGAAGGAGGAGGAAAAGGGAAAAAAAGUGUUAUUAUAAAAAUGUAUAGUAAGGAUGAUAUUUGUACAACCAGCAAAAUGGAAAAGAAACUGUAAGGAGAAUAUAAAUAAAUAGAUAAUUGGGAUUGCUGAAAUACCAUAUUGAAAAUACAUGAAUGGAAAGUAAACACAAUAAUGGAGACGGGAUGAAGAGAGGAAUAGAGGAGCAGAGUGGUAGAGGAAAAAGAGGGAAGGAGAGAGAAGGAGAGAGAAGAAAGGGAAAAGGAGAGGAAGAAAGAGGGGAAAUGAGAGUAGGAGAGAAGGUUAGGAAGGGAGGAAGAAGAGAGAAGUGGGAGAAGGGAAAGGGAAGGAGAGGGGGAAGGAGAGGAGGAAGAGGAAAGUUGAAAAGGAUAGGAGUAGAGAGGGAAAGGAAAGAGAAAAUAAGGAGAGAAAGGGUUGUUGUGGUAUAAAGAAGAGAUGGAAGAGUAGAAGAGCAGUCCAGAAUAUAUAAUAUUUUAACUACUGAAGGCAGAAAAAUGAAUUAAUAGGGAAACUAAAGAUAAUAGGUAUGAUUAAUACUGGUUAAGAGUAUUUAUGAGAAAGAAAAAUAAAAAAAAUUCAAAAAACCCCCACAAAAUAACCAUAACUGAUUGAAAGAGUUGCUCAGUGCUAAAAGAGUAUGGCUAAGUUGUGUACUGUAUAUUGCAUUUUGCUAAGUAAAAAGAAACCAAUUGGGCUUCAGUGCUGCGCAGCUCACCCCACUGACCCACAACAGAGCCGAUCUGUGAAGAUGGAAAUGUGAAGAUUGGUCACAAAGCUACUUUUUCAUCAGUGUCAUAACCAAGAAUGAACUGAGACUGAAAAGUGUUAAACAAAUAUUUUUGAUGUAUUCAAAACACAGCUUGCUGCUAAAAGGUUAAAAUGUUAGUGACAGAGGAUGAAGAGAUGACAUUCCCAAUUGUGACUUCCUGAAGUAGAGAGUCAUCAACGGAAACAUGUCUAUUUCUCUCCCAGAAACGGAAAGACGAAUUUUACCAUCCUGGUCAGCCACCUUUCUCCCACAGAAGGGUAGAGAUUCGAGAUGGGAGCAGAAGUCGUCAAUUCUGUGUUUCCAAGCUGUUAUCAGGCCCUCUUCUCAGUCACUGUUGAGAUCUCCUGCGAAAAGAAAUUGAUGAAGUACAAUCAAAAUUAACUUUUAAGGCAUUAUACAAUCUCCCUUACAGAGGUUGUUCUACUUGCUUACUAUCAUUGUAAGAUACUUACAGUGUUCACUCUGUUAUCGCUUUCUGAUAGUUUUCACAUUUUCUUCUUAUACUCAUACUCCCUUUCCUCAUCUCAGUCACCAUCUCCUGGCAAAAAAAUAACAAAAAAAACCUAGAACUUGUACAGUCAAACUUAAGAUGAAAUAAAUCACUUUUGCUUUUAGAACAAAAAUAAUUAAAAUGUUUUUAAGUUAAAAUAAUACUCAUUUUCUGGAUUUUCCCUCAGUUUGUUCUGCAAUUCCUUAUAAAUUAAGCCAUUUCUCUGGCUAAGCAGUUGUUCUCUUUUUCCAACUAAGAUGUAGAAAUUAGAAGAAGCAUGCAUCAGUCAUAGAAUAUAAAUAUGCAGACAAAAAGAGGAGCUUAAAACAGGAUUGUAAGGGAAAUGAAUGACCUACAGCUCUUAUGGUGACAUCUUUUUCUGCCAGCUCCCUUUCUUGAAGCAACGUAAGUUCUUCUAUGCGCUUCAUUUCUGUAUUUGUAUGGGAAAACACUUGUGCUAUUAAACAAUAUUCACAAAAGACAUUACAUAUUAACCCACCAACAACACUGAAAGUUAAGACUGGCCAUUAAAUAGAAGGGUCAGCGGUGAUGCAGAGGGAGGAUUGCCUUUGUAUCCUCACAUCUGCUACAGAUUCUCACACAAACAAAAUAGUUGGUUUCUUUGAUGUUGUCUGUAUUUCUGCAGAUAGACCUCAUAUUUCUUUUUCAGCCUUCAUACUCCCUUUCGUCUCUGUCAGCAUCUCCUGGCAAAAAAUAACAAAAGAACUAGAACUUGUACAGCCAAAUUUAAGAUGACAUAAAUCACUUUUGUUUUUAAAAUGAAAACAAUUAAAAUGUAGUUAAGCUAAAAUAAUA